This 253-nucleotide ribosomal RNA is filed under the name uncultured bacterium. Its description in RNAcentral is "partial 16S ribosomal RNA". It matches the Rfam family "Bacterial small subunit ribosomal RNA", at positions 524 to 776 of the family's 1533-position model. The record is from RNAcentral.
UACGUAGGGCGCGAGCGUUGUCCGGAAUUAUUGGGCGUAAAGAGCUCGUAGGCGGCCGGUUGCGUCUGCUGUGAAAUCCCGGGGCUUAACCCCGGGCGUGCAGUGGAUACGGGCCGGCUGGAGGCAGGCAGGGGAGAAUGGAAUUCCCGGUGUAGCGGUGAAAUGCGCAGAUAUCGGGAGGAACACCAAUAGCGAAGGCAGCUCGCUGGGACGUUACUGACACUGAGGCGCGAAAGCGUGGGGAGCGAACAGG